This 258-nucleotide long non-coding RNA is filed under the name Setaria viridis. RNAcentral describes it as "long non-coding RNA (SVIR_LNC004323)". The record is from RNAcentral. Lineage: Eukaryota; Viridiplantae; Streptophyta; Magnoliopsida; Poales; Poaceae.
AGCUCGCAACUCGAUAUUUCAGGUACAUAAUUUUGUUCUCUUCCUAGUAUUUUGUUUCUUUUUUGGUUAAUAGGGCUAGUGCUUAUCCACUCAAGACUUUCUGUUUUCAAAAUCAUUGUCAUCAUUUUGCCAUUUUGCUUGGGUUAGACUUCACACAUGGAGAUUUGUUGUUGAUUAAUAGUAGGCCGCGGAAAUUAAUUAAGGUAGGAAAAACAGGUGACAAAUAACUCGUGUGCAGAGUGCGGAGCAGAUUAAAAU